RNAcentral lists this unclassified non-coding RNA (700 nucleotides) under Hevea brasiliensis (rubber tree). Lineage: Eukaryota; Viridiplantae; Streptophyta; Magnoliopsida; Malpighiales; Euphorbiaceae. The record is from RNAcentral.
UCUCUCUCUCUCUCUCUCCUCCCCAAAACCCCCUCAACACAACAAAAAACCGCCCCCUCUCCCCCACCAACACCCAAUCCCCCAAACCCCAAACAACUGAUUUGGGUGGCUACUACAGGGUAGUGCUGCUGAUGUUGCCAUGUGUGCCAUGUUACAAAUAUCAAAAAAUGAUCGUCUGAAGAAGCUUGGAUGGAAGUUGCUUUUGCAGGUUGAGUUCUUGUUCCUUUUUCUGUUAUAUUUCUGUUCUCUAUGUUGGCAUCAUGUUUUAUGGUACAUCUGCUCAUAUCUGAACCUCCAAUCAAUUUGUUGCUCAGUUGCUGUUGUCUAUAGAAUCCACCUUGCAUAGAUCUUGUUGCCAUUUUGUAACAGCAUACCACUCAUCUUUUGCAAUCUCAAUCAAUAGCUUUUAAAUUACUGUCCACUGUCCAUCUGUCAUAUGCAAAAUGUGGUACUCGAUUGUUGGUCAUUCGUCAUGUGCAAUUGUGAUAAUUAAUCACUGUCCAAACUCCAAGCUUGGGGUUUGUCCAAUGAUAAUCUCUUAAGUUGAAAAUUCUCUUUUUAAGUGCACAAGGUUUCUUAAUUUCAAAAUGAUCUUUGUUGUCAAAGAUUCUAUUAAAUGUAAUAAUUUCAUUUUGAAAAAUAAAUAAAUAAAAUUAGGUUUCCAGAAAAUGUUCAACAAGAAAAUUAGUCUCAAUUUUUA